Molecule: long non-coding RNA, 983 nt
Filed under: Betta splendens (Siamese fighting fish)
Lineage: Eukaryota; Metazoa; Chordata; Actinopteri; Anabantiformes; Osphronemidae
Description: lncRNA (ENSBSLG00000004254.1)
Source: RNAcentral
ACUGGAGUCUCUCUGCUCCUUUGGUAUGUAUGGAGCUCAGGGAGGCCUCUUCUCUUCUCCAGCCUGGAGGCUCAAGGCUUGUUUGGUUUUUACGUGAACUGUUAAUUGGGACAGAGCCAGCACUCGAAGCCUCACUUCUAAAACUCUGUCUCCUGCUGUCAGAUCCCUCAGGAAAAAAGAGCUGUAGGUAGAAACAGACACUGAGCUCUGUAGAACAGUCUACUAGAGUCUGUAUGAAUCAGAAAACAGGCCACACUACCGCACGGUGCACCUGAGUGACUACAUUACCCAGGAUGCUCCUCGGCAACCAGAGAGCCUGUAAUGUUUACGGGGGAAACUUUUUAAUAAACUUUUAAUGACCACUCCAACUGCACGUCCUGUCUCCUACCCAGCUGCUCUGCACACACAGAGGCUCCUGUCAGGCCCAACUAAGCAGAGUGGCUGGCGGAGCAGCGCUUGGAUUGGCUGGACAGGGGUUGCCGAGGGUUACGGCGAAUUUGGUGGACCACCUGCUGAGCUCGGCCGCCAACUGACUGAAAACAUUUACAUCAGAAACCACCCAGGAUCGACAGGGAAAAAAGGAAGGAGGCCGUUUGUCUAAACGUGACGGCUUCUUCUGCUAAGCUAUUUAACGGAGGGUCCCAGCAUCACUGUAAUCCGCUGUGCUGUGUCCUGUGGGGUCACAGUGGGAGGCGCGAUGUUCACGCUGGAGCAGCAGCUGUGAACGUGAAGCGAGGCUGCAGCCCAGCGCUCCUCGAACCCUCCCUCAGGCCGAUGGCUCCGUCGCUCGCUAAAUCGGUAAAUGAUCCUGGCUGUCAUUUAAUCAAUAUGAACAGGCAGCAGCUGUCGCGCAUCAUCUCCUCCCUCGGGGCUCGUUGUCAAGACGCAGCGGAUGAAACGCCGUCGUGUUGGCAUUUUAUCAGGCCUUUAUUGUGACGACCAGGUUAAAUAAAAGAGAGGGAGGAUGAAUUAUGUUAAAUUAU